This 724-nucleotide ribosomal RNA is filed under the name Enterobacter sp. Its description in RNAcentral is "bacterial SSU rRNA". It matches the Rfam family "Bacterial small subunit ribosomal RNA", at positions 57 to 773 of the family's 1533-position model. The record is from RNAcentral. Lineage: Bacteria; Pseudomonadati; Pseudomonadota; Gammaproteobacteria; Enterobacterales; Enterobacteriaceae.
GCAGUCGAGCGGUAACACAGGGAGCUUGCUCCUGGGUGACGAGCGGCGGACGGGUGAGUAAUGUCUGGGAAACUGCCUGAUGGAGGGGGAUAACUACUGGAAACGGUAGCUAAUACCGCAUAAUGUCGCAAGACCAAAGAGGGGGACCUUCGGGCCUCUUGCCAUCAGAUGUGCCCAGAUGGGAUUAGCUAGUAGGUGGGGUAAUGGCUCACCUAGGCGACGAUCCCUAGCUGGUCUGAGAGGAUGACCAGCCACACUGGAACUGAGACACGGUCCAGACUCCUACGGGAGGCAGCAGUGGGGAAUAUUGCACAAUGGGCGCAAGCCUGAUGCAGCCAUGCCGCGUGUAUGAAGAAGGCCUUCGGGUUGUAAAGUACUUUCAGCGAGGAGGAAGGCAAUAAGGUUAAUAACCUUGGUGAUUGACGUUACUCGCAGAAGAAGCACCGGCUAACUCCGUGCCAGCAGCCGCGGUAAUACGGAGGGUGCAAGCGUUAAUCGGAAUUACUGGGCGUAAAGCGCACGCAGGCGGUCUGUCAAGUCGGAUGUGAAAUCCCCGGGCUCAACCUGGGAACUGCAUUCGAAACUGGCAGGCUAGAGUCUUGUAGAGGGGGGUAGAAUUCCAGGUGUAGCGGUGAAAUGCGUAGAGAUCUGGAGGAAUACCGGUGGCGAAGGCGGCCCCCUGGACAAAGACUGACGCUCANGUGCGAAAGCGUGGGGAGCAAAC